RNAcentral lists this ribosomal RNA (79 nucleotides) under Escherichia coli. Its description in RNAcentral is "partial 23S ribosomal RNA". The record is from RNAcentral. Lineage: Bacteria; Pseudomonadati; Pseudomonadota; Gammaproteobacteria; Enterobacterales; Enterobacteriaceae.
GGCCGGGUGUGUAAGCGCAGCGAUGCGUUGAGCGAACCGGUACUAAUGAACCGUGAGGCUUAACCUUACAACGCCGAAG